RNAcentral lists this small RNA (4105 nucleotides) under Pongo abelii (Sumatran orangutan). Its description in RNAcentral is "retained intron". The record is from RNAcentral. Lineage: Eukaryota; Metazoa; Chordata; Mammalia; Primates; Hominidae.
ACCCGGCCCGGCUCCCUCCCUGCCCGUCCCCGUCCCCCCACCCGUGCCAGCCCCCAGGAUGGGUGCCUCGAGCGCGUGCCGGACGCUGGUGUUGGCUCUGGCGGCCGUGCUCAUGGUGCCGCAGGCAGAGACCCAGGGCCCUGCGGAGCCGAGCUGGGGGAAUGCAGGGCACACCACGGACGGUGGUGCCCCGACGUCCUCGCCCACCCGGCGCGUGAGCUUUGUUCCACCCGUCACUGUCUUCCCCAGCCUGAGCCCCCUGAACCCGGCGCACAACGGGCAGGUGUGCAGCACCUGGGGUGACUUCCACUACAAGACCUUCGACGGCGACGUCUUCCGCUUCCCUGGCCUCUGCAACUACGUGUUCUCCGAGCACUGCCGCGCCGCCUACGAGGAUUUCAACGUCCAGCUGCGCCGAGGCCUGGUGGGCUCCAGGCCUGUGGUCACCCGUGUUGUCAUCAAGGCCCAGGGGCUGGUGCUGGAGGCGUCCAACGGCUCUGUCCUCAUCAACGGGCAGCGGGAGGAGCUGCCUUACAGCCGCACUGGCCUCCUGGUGGAGCAGAGUGGGGACUACAUCAAGGUCAGCAUCCGGCUGGUCCUGACAUUCCUGUGGAACGGAGAGGACAGUGCCCUGCUGGAGCUGGACCCCAAAUACGCCAACCAGACCUGUGGCCUGUGUGGGGACUUCAAUGGCCUCCCGGCUUUCAACGAGUUCUAUGCCCACAACACCAGGCUGACCCCGAUCCAGUUUGGGAACCUGCAGAAGUUGGAUGGGCCCACAGAGCAGUGCCCGGACCCGCUGCCCUUGCCCGCCGGCAACUGCACGGACGAGGAGGGCAUCUGCCACCGCACCCUGCUGGGGCCGGCCUUUGCGGAGUGCCACGCACUGGUGGACAGCGCCGCGUACCUGGCCGCCUGCACCCAGGACCUGUGCCGCUGCCCCACCUGCCCGUGUGCCACCUUUGUGGAAUACUCACGCCAGUGCGCCCACGCGGGGGGCCAGCCGCGUAACUGGAGGCGCCCUGAGCUCUGCCCCCGGACCUGCCCCCUCAACAUGCAGCACCACGAGUGUGGCUCACCCUGUGAAGACACCUGCUCCAACCCCCAGCGUGCGCAGCUCUGCGAGGACCACUGUGUGGACGGCUGCUUCUGCCCCCCAGGCACGGUGCUGGAUGACGUCACGCACUCUGGCUGCCUGCCCCUCGGGCAGUGCCCCUGCACCCACAGCGGCCGCACCUACAGCCCGGGCACCUCCUUCAACACCACCUGCAGCUCCUGCACCUGCUCCGGGGGGCUAUGGCAGUGCCAGGACCUGCCGUGCCCUGGCACCUGCUCCGUGCAGGGCGGGGCCCACAUCUCCACCUACGAUGAGAAACUGUAUGACCUGCAUGGUGACUGCAGCUACGUUCUGUCCAAGAAAUGUGCUGACGGCAGCUUCACCGUGCUGGCCGAGCUGCGGAAGUGCGGCCUGACAGACAACGAGAACUGCCUGAAAGCGGUGACGCUCAGCCUGGACGGCGGGGACACGGCCAUCCGGGUCCAAGCGGACGGUGGCGUGUUCCUCAACUCCAUCUACACGCAGCUGCCCCUGUCGGCAGCCAACAUCACCCUGUUCACACCCUCGAGCUUCUUCAUCGUGGUGCAGACAGGCCUCGGGCUGCAGCUGCUGGUGCAGCUGGUGCCGCUCAUGCAGGUGUUUGUCAGGCUGGACCCCGCCCACCAGGGCCAGAUGUGCGGCCUGUGUGGGAACUUCAACCAGAACCAGGCUGACGACUUCACGGCCCUCAGCGGGGUGGUGGAGGCCACGGGUGCAGCCUUCGCCAACACCUGGAAGGCCCAGGCCGCCUGUGCCAAUGCCAGGAACAGCUUUGAGGACCCCUGCUCCCUCAGUGUGGAGAAUGAGAACUACGCCCGGCACUGGUGCUCGCGCCUAACCGACCCCAAUGGUGCCUUCUCGCGCUGCCAUUCCGUCAUCAACCCCAAGCCCUUCCACUCGAACUGCAUGUUUGACACCUGCAACUGUGAGCGGAGUGAGGACUGCCUGUGCGCCGCGCUGUCCUCCUAUGUGCACGCCUGCGCCGCCAAGGGCGUGCAGCUCAGCAGCUGGAGGGACGGCGUCUGCACCAAGUACAUGCAGAACUGCCCCAAGUCCCAGCGCUACGCCUACGUGGUGGAUGCCUGCCAGCCCACUUGUCGCGGCCUGAGUGAGGCCGACGUCACCUGCAGCGUUUCCUUCGUGCCUGUGGACGGCUGCACCUGCCCCGCGGGCACCUUCCUCAAUGACGCGGGCGCCUGUGUGCCCGCCCAGGAGUGCCCCUGCUACGUUCACGGCACCGUGCUGGCUCCUGGAGAGGUCGUGCAUGACGAAGGCGCCAUGUGUUCAUGUAUGGGUGGGAAGCUGAGCUGCCUGGGAGCCUCUCUGCAGAAAAGCACAGGGUGUGCAGCCCCCAUGGUGUACCUGGACUGCAGCAACAGCUCGGCGGGCACCCCUGGGGCCGAGUGCCUCCGGAGCUGCCACACCCUGGACGUGGGCUGUUUCAGCACACACUGUGUGUCCGGCUGUGUCUGUCCCCCGGGGCUGGUGUCGGAUGGCAGUGGGGGCUGCAUUGCCGAGGAGGACUGCCCCUGCGCGCACAACGAGGCCACCUACAAGCCUGGAGAGACCAUCAGGGUCGACUGCAACACCUGCACCUGCAGGAACCGGAGAUGGGAGUGCAGCCACCGGCUCUGCCUGGGCACCUGCGUAGCCUACGGGGACGGCCACUUCAUCACCUUUGAUGGCGAGCGCUACAGCUUUGAAGGCAGCUGCGAGUACAUCUUGGCCCAGGUACGCCGCCCCCUCGCCCGCUCCUGCAGGCCGGGCACACUCCAGCCCGCGGCCAACAGCUUGUCUCUUUCUGGCCCAGGACUACUGUGGGGACACCACCACCCACGGGACCUUCCGCAUCAUCACCGAGAACAUACCCUGUGGGACCACCGGCACCACCUGCUCCAAGGCCAUCAAGCUGUUUGUGGAGAGCUACGAGCUGAUCCUCCAGGAGGGGACCUUUAAGGUGGUGGCAAGAGGGCCGGGUGGGGACCCGCCCUACAAGAUCCGCUACAUGGGGAUCUUCCUGGUCAUCGAGACCCGCGGGAUGGCCGUGUCCUGGGACCGGAAGACCAGUGUGUUCAUCCGACUGCACCAGGACUACAAGGGCAGGGUCUGCGGCCUGUGCGGGAACUUCGACGACAACGCCAUCAAUGACUUUGCCACGCGGAGCCGGUCCGUGGUGGGGGACGUGCUGGAGUUCGGGAACAGCUGGAAGCUCUCCCCCUCCUGCCCGGAUGCCCUGGCGCCCAAGGACCCCUGCACGGCCAACCCCUUCCGCAAGUCCUGGGCCCAGAAGCAGUGCAGCAUCCUCCACGGCCCCACCUUCGCCACCUGCCGCUCUCAGGUUGACUCCACCAAGUACUACGAGGCCUGCGUGAACGAUGCGUGUGCCUGUGACUCGGGUGGUGACUGCGAGUGUUUCUGCACGGCUGUGGCUGCCUACGCCCAGGCUUGCCACGACGCAGGCCUGUGUGUGUCCUGGCGGACUCCGGACACCUGCCGUGAGUCGGGCUCUGUCCGUGGUGCUGAAGGGUGGAGCAGCCCGGGCAGGGGAGGAGGUGUGGCAGCCUCCGUAGGUGCAUUGACCUGGGCCUGAGCCGCACACAGACAUCCAACACGCAUGUGCCUCCACGUGAGUGCACACGUUCCUAUGCACAGAGGAAGACCUGUGCAAAACCACCAGACAGGUCACCCCAGCAUGAGACGGCUCCUGGGGACGAGAGUUCCAAGGGCAGGGCUGGGGAGUGGAGGGGAAGGUGAGGCACCACCCGGCCCGAGGCCCUGCAUGUCUGGGACAAGCCCGGGUCUGGCCCUGGGGACACCGGCCCCCACACCCGGGGUAGGGGCUGCCCUGCACAACAGGGGUGAGGGCCAGUGGGCGCCUCCUUAGCCUCUGCCCUCUGCGCCCCAGCCUUGUUCUGUGACUUCUACAACCCACACGGGGGCUGUGAGUGGCACUACCAGCCCUGCGGGGCACCCUGCCUAAAAACCUGCCGGAACCCCAGUGGGCACUGC